UGGGGAAUUUUGCGCAAUGGGCGAAAGCCUGACGCAGCGACGCCGCGUGUGCGAUGAAGGCCUUUGGGUCGUAAAGCACUGUCGACCGGGACGAAAUCUUCCGAGCUAACACCUCGGAGGUUUGACGGUACUGGUAAAGGAAGCACCGGCUAACUCUGUGCCAGCAGCCGCGGUAAUACAGAGGGUGCAAACGUUGCUCGGAAUUAUUGGGCGUAAAGCGCAUGUAGGCGGUCUGUUAAGUCGGUUGUGA
Molecule: ribosomal RNA, 250 nt
Filed under: uncultured bacterium
Lineage: Bacteria
Description: partial 16S ribosomal RNA
Rfam family: Bacterial small subunit ribosomal RNA
Source: RNAcentral